AACGAACGCUGGCGGCAUGCCUAACACAUGCAAGUCGAACGAGACCUUCGGGUCUAGUGGCGCACGGGUGCGUAACGCGUGGGAACCUGCCUUUAGGUUCGGAAUAACAGUGAGAAAUUACUGCUAAUACCGGAUGAUGUCUUCGGACCAAAGAUUUAUCGCCUUUAGAUGGGGCCCCGCGUUGGAUUAGCUAGUUGGUGGGGUAAAGGCCUACCAAGGCGACGAUCCAUAGCUGGUCUGAGAGGAUGAUCAGCCACACUGGGACUGAGACACGGCCCAGACUCCUACGGGAGGCAGCAGUGGGGAAUAUUGGACAAUGGGCGAAAGCCUGAUCCAGCAAUGCCGCGUGAGUGAUGAAGGCCUUAGGGUUGUAAAGCUCUUUUACCCGAGAUGAUAAUGACAGUAAUCGGGAGAAUAAGCUCCGGCUAACUCCGUGCCAGCAGCCGCGGU
RNAcentral lists this ribosomal RNA (450 nucleotides) under uncultured bacterium. RNAcentral describes it as "bacterial SSU rRNA". It matches the Rfam family "Bacterial small subunit ribosomal RNA", at positions 29 to 521 of the family's 1533-position model. The record is from RNAcentral.